AGUGCAUAUGGUGAAUGCCUUGGCGAUUACAGGCGAUGAAGGACGUGGUAGUCUGCGAAAUUUUUCGGGGAGCUGGCAAACAAGCUUUGAUCCGGAAGUGUCCGAAUGGGGAAACCCACCCGCAAGGGUAUCCAUCUCUGAAUUCAUAGGAGAUGUGAAGCAAACCGAGUGAACUGAAACAUCUUAGUAACUCGAGGAAAAGAAAUCAACCGAGAUUCCGGUAGUAGUGGCGAGCGAAACCGGAACAGCCUGUUAUUUUUAGCACACGCGUUAAUAGAACGGAAUGGAAAGUCCGGCCGUAGAGGGUGAUAGUCCCGUAUAUGAAAGCCCGUGUGUGGAACUAGGAUAACGAUAAGUAGGACGGGACACGUGAAAUCUUGUCUGAAUAUGGGGGGACCAUCCUCCAAGGCUAAAUACUCGUAAUCGACCGAUAGUGAACUAGUACCGUGAGGGAAAGGUGAAAAGAACCCCGGGAGGGGAGUGAAAUAGAUUCUGAAACCGUAUGCAUACAAACAGUAGGAGCCCUUCGGGGUGACUGCGUACCUUUUGUAUAAUGGGUCAGCGACUUACAUUCAGUAGCAAGCUUAACCGAUAGGGAAGGCGUAGCGAAAGCGAGUCCUAAUAGGGCGUCCUAGUUACUGGGUGUAGACCCGAAACCAAGUGAUCUAUCCAUGGCCAGGAUGAAGGUGCCGUAACAGGUACUGGAGGUCCGAACCCACAAAUGUUGAAAAAUUUGGGGAUGAGCUGUGGAUAGGGGUGAAAGGCUAAUCAAACUUGGAGAUAGCUGGUUCUCUCCGAAAACUAUUUAGGUAGUACCUCGUAUCUUACUCUCGGGGGUAGAGCACUGUUAUGGCUAGGGGGUCCUUAAGGACUUACCAAACCAUUGCAAACUCCGAAUACCGAGAAGUACAAUUACGGGAGACAGACAGCGGGUGCUAACGUCCGUUGUCGAGAGGGAAACAACCCAGACCGCCAGCUAAGGUCCCAAAUAUAUGCUAAGUGGUAAACGAAGUGAGAAGGCCCAGACAGCCAGGAGGUUGGCUUAGAAGCAGCCACCCUUUAAAGAAAGCGUAAUAGCUCACUGGUCGAGUCGUCUCGCGCGGAAGAUGUAACGGGGCUAAGCAUAUAACCGAAGCUGCGGAUGCAUAUUUAUAUGCAUGGUAGGAGAGCGUUCUGUAAGUCUGUGAAGGUGUUCUGUGAGGAAUGCUGGAGAUAUCAGAAGUGCGAAUGCUGACAUGAGUAGCGAUAAAGGGAGUGAAAGGCUCCCUCGCCGAAAGCCCAAGGUUUCCUGCGCAACGUUCAUCGGCGCAGGGUGAGUCGGCCCCUAAGGUGAGGCAGAAAUGCGUAGCCGAUGGGAAACAGGUUAAUAUUCCUGUACCUCAAUUUAAUGCGAUGUGGGGACGGAGAAGGUUAGGUCAGCCAGGUGUUGGAUAUCCUGGUUCAAGCAUGUAGAUAGAUUUCUUAGGUAAAUCCGGGAAGUCAAUAUCAAGAUGUGUUAACGAGUGAACUUUUGUUCAUGAAGUGAUUGAUACCACGCUUCCAAGAAAAGCCACUAAGCUUCAGUUAGAUUGAGACCGUACCGCAAACCAACACAGGUGGGCAGGAUGAGAAUUCUAAGGCGCUUGAGAGAACUCUGGAGAAGGAACUCGGCAAAUUUGUACCGUAACUUCGGGAUAAGGUACGCCCCAGUAGGUUGUAGCAUUUUACAUGCGAAGGCCGAUGGGGUUGCAGUGAAAUGGUGGCUGCGACUGUUUAUUAAAAACACAGCACUGUGCAAACACGAAAGUGGACGUAUACGGUGUGACUCCUGCCCGGUGCCGGAAGGUUAAUUGAUGGGGUGCAAGCUCUUGAUAGAAGCCCCGGUAAACGGCGGCCGUAACUAUAACGGUCCUAAGGUAGCGAAAUUCCUUGUCGGGUAAGUUCCGACCUGCACGAAUGGAGUAACGAUGGCCACACUGUCUCCUCUAGAGACUCAGCGAAGUUGAAAUGGUUGUGAAGAUGCAAUCUACCCGCGGUUAGACGGAAAGACCCCAUGAACCUUUACUAUAGCUUUACAUUGGACUUUGAUAACAUCUGUGUAGGAUAGGUGGGAGACUUUGAAGCAGGAUCGCUAGAUCUUGUGGAGUCACCCUUGAAAUACCACCCUGAUGUUGUUGAGGUUCUAACCCAGGUCCCUUAUCGGGAUCGGGAACCGUGUAUGGUGGGUAGUUUGACUGGGGCGGUCUCCUCCCAAAGAGUAACGGAGGAGCGCGA
This 2253-nucleotide ribosomal RNA is filed under the name seawater metagenome. Its description in RNAcentral is "bacterial LSU rRNA". It matches the Rfam family "Bacterial large subunit ribosomal RNA", at positions 14 to 2313 of the family's 2925-position model. The record is from RNAcentral.